UACGAAGGUUGCAAGCGUUACUCGGAAUUACUAGGCGUAAAGGGCAGGUAGGUGGUUUGGUAAGUCUAUUGUGAAGGCUCCCGGCUUAACUGGGAGAGGCCAAUGGAUACUGCCAAGCUUGAGUAUAGGAGAGGUUACUGGAAUUCCCGGUGUAGCGGUGAAAUGCGCAGAUAUCGGGAGGAACACCAAUGGCGAAAGCAGGUAACUGGACUAUUACUGACACUCAACUGCGAAAGCUAGGGGAGCAAACAGG
RNAcentral lists this ribosomal RNA (253 nucleotides) under uncultured bacterium. RNAcentral's name for it is "partial 16S ribosomal RNA". It matches the Rfam family "Bacterial small subunit ribosomal RNA", at positions 524 to 776 of the family's 1533-position model. The record is from RNAcentral.